Molecule: ribosomal RNA, 137 nt
Filed under: Exophiala equina
Lineage: Eukaryota; Fungi; Ascomycota; Eurotiomycetes; Chaetothyriales; Herpotrichiellaceae
Description: partial large subunit ribosomal RNA
Source: RNAcentral
CGGUUCUGGGGGUCGGUUAAAGACCCUGGGAAUGUACCUACCCUUCGGGCGUAGACUUAUAGCCCAGGGUGUCAUGCGACCUCCCGGGACCGAGGAACGCGCUUCGGCUCGGAUGUUGGCGUAAUGGUUGUCAGCGA